UAUGGCCAUAUCACAUUAAAACAUUGGUUCCCAUAUGAUCACCAAAGUUAAGCAACAUCAAGCCUAGUCAGUAUGUAGAUGGCUAACUGCUUGGAAAUACCUGGUGCUGUAAG
This is a non-coding RNA of Acanthosepion pharaonis, 113 nucleotides long. NCBI's taxonomy places the organism in Eukaryota, Metazoa, Mollusca, Cephalopoda, Sepiida, Sepiidae. The record is from the annotation of a GenBank genome assembly.